GAAAGAUUCAUCGGAAGAGGAUGGGCAUGCGGCGCAUUAGCUAGACGGCGGGGUAACGGCCCACCGUGGCGACGAUGCGUAGGGGUUCUGAGAGGAAGGUCCCCCACACUGGUACUGAGACACGGACCAGACUCCUACGGGAGGCAGCAGUGAGGAAUAUUGGUCAAUGGGAGAGAUCCUGAACCAGCCAAGCCGCGUGAGGGAAGACGGCCCUAUGGGUUGUAAACCUCUUUUGUCGGAGAACAAAACCCGGGACGUGUCCCGGACUGCGUGUAUCCGAAGAAAAAGCAUCGGCUAACUCCGUGCCAGCAGCCGCGGUAAUACGGAGGAUGCGAGCGUUAUCCGGAUUUAUUGGGUUUAAAGGGUGCGUAGGCGGUCCGUUAAGUCAGCGGUAAAAUUGCGGGGCUCAACCCCGUCGAGCCGUUGAAACUGGCAGACUUGAGUUGGCGAGAAGUACGCGGAAUGCGCGGUGUAGCGGUGAAAUGCAUAGAUAUCGCGCAGAACUCCGAUUGCGAAGGCAGCGUACCGGCGCCAGACUGACGCUGAGGCACGAAAGCGUGGGGAUCGAACAGGAUUAGAUACCCCGGUAGUCCACGCAGUAAACGAUGAAUGCUGGUUGUCCGGGUCGAAUGAGACCUGG
This 640-nucleotide ribosomal RNA is filed under the name uncultured bacterium. Its description in RNAcentral is "bacterial SSU rRNA". It matches the Rfam family "Bacterial small subunit ribosomal RNA", at positions 202 to 842 of the family's 1533-position model. The record is from RNAcentral.